GACGAACGCUGGCGGCGUGCUUAACACAUGCGAGUCGAACGGAAAGGCCCUGCUUUUGUGGGGUGCUCGAGUGGCGAACGGGUGAGUAACACGUGAGUAACCUGCCCUUGACUUUGGGAUAACUUCAGGAAACUGGGGCUAAUACCGGAUAGGAGCUCCUGCUGCAUGGUGGGGGUUGGAAAGUUUCGGCGGUUGGGGAUGGACUCGCGGCUUAUCAGCUUGUUGGUGGGGUAGUGGCUUACCAAGGCUUUGACGGGUAGCCGGCCUGAGAGGGUGACCGGCCACAUUGGGACUGAGAUACGGCCCAGACUCCUACAGGAGGCAGCAGUGGGGAAUAUUGCACAAUGGGCGGAAGCCUGAUGCAGCAACGCCGCGUGCGGGUUGACGGCCUUCGGGUUGUAAACCGCUUUCGCCUGUGACGAAGCGUGAGUGACGGUAAUGGGUAAAGAAGCACCGGCUAACUACGUG
RNAcentral lists this ribosomal RNA (468 nucleotides) under uncultured bacterium. Its description in RNAcentral is "partial 16S ribosomal RNA". It matches the Rfam family "Bacterial small subunit ribosomal RNA", at positions 28 to 507 of the family's 1533-position model. The record is from RNAcentral.